This 472-nucleotide ribosomal RNA is filed under the name uncultured bacterium. RNAcentral describes it as "bacterial SSU rRNA". It matches the Rfam family "Bacterial small subunit ribosomal RNA", at positions 52 to 501 of the family's 1533-position model. The record is from RNAcentral.
CACAUGCAAGUCGAACGGGUUCUAGCARAAUAUCGCUAGGAUAAGUGGCAAACGGGUGAGUAACACGUGGGUAACCUACCUUCAAAUGGGGAAUAACCCGCCGAAAGGCGAGCUAAUACCCCGCAGUACUGGAAGGCGCAAUUCCUUCCUUUUAAAGAUGGCGUCCGUAAGGGGCUAUCAUUUGGAGAGGGGCCCGCGGCCUAUCAGCUAGUUGGCGGGGUAACGGCCCACCAAGGCAACGACGGGUAGCCGGCCUAAAAGGGCGAUCGGCCACACUGGAACUGAGACACGGUCCAGACUCCUACGGGAGGCAGCAGUGGGGAAUUUUGGACAAUGGGGGCAACCCUGAUCCAGCAACGCCGCGUGAGUGAUGAAGGCCUUCGGGUCGUAAAGCUCUGUCAAGUGGAACGAUGGGUUUCGAAGCUAAUAUCUUUGGAAUUUGACGGUACCACUGGAGGAAGUCACGGCUAAC